This 434-nucleotide long non-coding RNA is filed under the name Taeniopygia guttata (zebra finch). Its description in RNAcentral is "lncRNA (ENSTGUG00000029450.1)". The record is from RNAcentral. Lineage: Eukaryota; Metazoa; Chordata; Aves; Passeriformes; Estrildidae.
UGCAGGUGAAGGGCUGGAAAAGAUGCACUGGAAGACUAAACAAACACCAAAUCGCCAUAGAGCAGAUUAUAAACACCAAAUCGCCAUAAAACAAACACCAAAUUGUGAUAGAACAUAAUAUAAACACCAAAUCACGAUAGAACAGAUUAUAAACAAGUACCAAAUCAUGACAGAACAGAUUGUAAACACCAAAUCACCACAGAACAUACUAUGAACACCAAAUCACGAUAGAGCAGAUUAUAAACAAGCACCAAAUCAUCACAGAACAGAUUAUAAACACCAAAUCAACAUACAACAGAUUAUAAACACCAAAUUGCCAUAGAACAGAAUAUAAAUACCAAAUUGUGACCGAACAGAUGAUAAACACCAAAUCGUCACAGAACAAUUUGUAAACACCAAAUCACCAUAGAGCAGAUUGUAAACACCAAAUCACG